RNAcentral lists this ribosomal RNA (400 nucleotides) under uncultured bacterium. RNAcentral's name for it is "bacterial SSU rRNA". It matches the Rfam family "Bacterial small subunit ribosomal RNA", at positions 356 to 773 of the family's 1533-position model. The record is from RNAcentral.
GGGGGAUAUUGCACAAUGGAGGAAACUCUGAUGCAGCAACGCCGCGUGAGGGAAGAAGGUCUUCGGAUUGUAAACCUUUGUCCUUGGUGACGAUAAUGACGGUAGCCAAGGAGGAAGCUCCGGCUAACUACGUGCCAGCAGCCGCGGUAAUACGUAGGGAGCGAGCGUUGUCCGGAUUUACUGGGUGUAAAGGGUGCGUAGGCGGCUCUGCAAGUCAGGUGUGAAAACCAUCGGCUUAACUGAUGGACUGCAUUUGAAACUGUGGAGCUCGAGUGGAGUAGAGGCAGACGGAAUUCCCGGUGUAGCGGUGAAAUGCGUAGAGAUCGGGAGGAACACCAGUGGCGAAGGCGGCCUGCUGGGCUUUAACUGACGCUGAAGCACGAAAGCAUGGGUAGCAAAC